Gorilla gorilla gorilla (western lowland gorilla) is the source of this 148-nucleotide non-coding RNA. It matches the Rfam family "Metazoan signal recognition particle RNA". Rfam says of the family: The signal recognition particle (SRP) is a universally conserved ribonucleoprotein. It is involved in the co-translational targeting of proteins to membranes. The eukaryotic SRP consists of a 300-nucleotide 7S RNA and six proteins: SRPs 72, 68, 54, 19, 14, and 9. The record is from Rfam. Lineage: Eukaryota; Metazoa; Chordata; Mammalia; Primates; Hominidae.
GCCAGGCGUGGUGGUGGGCGCCCGUAAUCCCAGCUACUUGGGAGGCUGAGGCAGGAGAAUCGUUUGAACCCGGGAGGCGGAGGUUGCAGUGAGCUGAGAUCAUGCCACUGCACUCUAGCCUGGGUGACAGAACGAGACCCUGUCUCAA